AGUGAACGCUGGCGGUAGGCCUAACACAUGCAAGUCGAACGGCAGCACAGUAAGAGCUUGCUCUUACGGGUGGCGAGUGGCGGACGGGUGAGGAAUACAUCGGAAUCUACUUUUUCGGGGGGGAUAACGUAGGGAAACUUACGCUAAUACCGCAUACGACCUACGGGUGAAAGCAGUGGAUCUUCGGACCUUGCGCGAUUGAUUGAGCCGAUGUCGGAUUAGCUAGUUGGCGGGGUAACGGCCCACCAAGGCGACGAUCCGUAGCUGGUCUGAGAGGAUGAUCGGCCACACUGGAACUGAGACACGGUCCAGACUCCUACGGGAGGCAGCAGUAGGGAAUAUUGGACAAUGGGCGCAAGCCUGAUCCAGCCAUACCGCGUGGGUGAAGAAGGCCUUCGGGUUGUAAAGCCCUUUUGUUGGGAAAGAAAAGCAGCAGGUUAAUACCCCGCUGUUCUGACGGUACCCAAAGAAUAAGCAACGGCUAACUUCGUG
Molecule: ribosomal RNA, 492 nt
Filed under: uncultured bacterium
Lineage: Bacteria
Description: partial 16S ribosomal RNA
Rfam family: Bacterial small subunit ribosomal RNA
Source: RNAcentral